GAUGGCGCGGUGGACACACCUGUUCCCAUCCCGAACACAGAAGUUAAGCACCGUAGUGGCGAAGGUAUCCAAUUCGUUGGGGAGAAUAGCGAGCUGCCGGGC
RNAcentral lists this ribosomal RNA (102 nucleotides) under Candidatus Fiminaster equi. Lineage: Bacteria; Bacillati; Bacillota; Bacilli. The record is from RNAcentral.